AACCAUAGAAACCUGCGGAGUACCUGCGGAAGGAUCAUUACUGAGUCACGUGCUCAAACAACCCUUCUGUGGACCUGAAAUAAAACCGUUGCCUCGGCGGGCGGUCCCCCCCAAGCUAACCCCACGUGGUGGGUUAGGGGAGACCAGACAGUCCGGUACGCUUAAAGGCGUCCGGCGCCAGCCGCUGGCCCCAAACAAUUAAACUCUAGUAACCUUUACCUUCUGAGUUUCAAUAUUUAA
This 240-nucleotide unclassified non-coding RNA is filed under the name soil metagenome. Its description in RNAcentral is "partial contains 5.8S ribosomal RNA, internal transcribed spacer 2, and large subunit ribosomal RNA". The record is from RNAcentral.